This is a long non-coding RNA of Gossypium arboreum, 3392 nucleotides long. RefSeq lists it as uncharacterized. The transcript has 8 exons. The record is from RefSeq and is a predicted model, not a curated record. NCBI's taxonomy places the organism in Eukaryota, Viridiplantae, Streptophyta, Magnoliopsida, Malvales, Malvaceae.
UUCUUUGUUGCAAAUUUUUGAUUGAUUCCACCACAAUUUCUUAAAGGCCAAUUCAACCUCCCUAUUGGCGUUCUCGAGUCGAUUCUUCCAAGCUAAUAGAAACUAAAAGUCCCCUUGUCCAGUCAAAUUAAUAAACUGCCCCCCACCACUUCCCAAAAACACACUAUUUUCCUAUCAGUUGCAGUUUUCCUGAGACCAUUGAUGCUACGUAGAAACACCAUCUAGCAUCUUCUCUAGUUACUUGAAAUACCUCUAAAUCUCUCAGUAGGGUUCUUGCUCCUGUUGCCUUCCCGAUCCCAAUGAAACAACAACGUAAGGUUGUACAACCCAUUCCAGGUGAAGGUUCCUAUGGGCAGACUAGGAUUAUUUUUGCAGUCAUCAAAGAAUCCUAUAAGAGAAAUCAAUGCAAGAUAAUUUGUAGAGUUUCAGAAAAAAAAAAGGAUUUCGAAGCCCAACAAAGUCUAGAUGAAGAGACACAGCCUGCGGAUGCCACAAUUCCUAUCUUUCAAAUACAGCUCGAGACUAGUCAACAUAAAAAUUGAUGAGGAGGACCUAUAAGAGGAGGAAGAUCCCAAAAAAGAAGAGAACGAGAUGUCAAAACAAGACUCGAACUCAACGCUUUGGAUGAAACUACAUUAUGGAGUUGAACAAGCAAGGUGGAGGUAACCCAACAAACAUUGUGGAGCUGUCAUGCCGAAACAGCAACAAAUCAGGAAGAUAGGGGCUCUCCUCGUUCAGAGUCGUAAUCAAAUCGUUGGGGGUGUUUUGAGUAAUCCUCAGUCUUAGUCGGAUCGGAGCAGUAGGGACUCCCCGGUGACCACUCUUCUGUAAAACUGAUUAAAGCUAUUGGUUUAUGGUUUUAUUUACUACUUUGGGUUAUGUUAUGAGAGUUUGUAAUUUCUGGGACUCUCUGGACUAUAAGACUUUUAACUGCAGGUUUAGAUUUAUUAAUAAUUUGCAUGCCAUGAUAAACUAUUUUAUGAGAUUGAUGAUUUUUACGCCAACGGUGUUUUUUUAAAAUACGAAUUUGAUUUUUAAAAUAUAUGUCUUCUUAAGACUUUCACUGUAUGUUUGGCAAAUGAACUAAUGAUGUUUUCAGUAAGUUGUAAAUGUGUGCGAAUUAUGAAAUGUGCACGUUUUUGACGAAACAACUUUGAUUUUAAAACCCAUUCUUUGUAACAUCACCAGAUUCUGCCAUAACGUCUAGGCCGGGUUUGGGGUGUUAUAUUUAGUGGUAUCAGAGUUAAGUUGCAAAACUUAGCUGUGAAUUGUGGGUUCCAAAAACUUUUUUUUAAAAAGUAUUGGAUUUAAAAUGAUUUGAAUAAUUAAGGAAGUACGUGGUACACCAAGUCUCCUACACUGAUCCUGUAAGUAUUUCUGAAUUUUUGAUAGAAAACUUUGAAAAUACUAUAGUUAGUAUUUUCUGAAACUUAGUUAGGACUGUUUCGAAAAUACUUUGGAAAACAUUUACUGGAAACCGUACUAAAAUAAUUAGAAACUGAAACUUCUAAAAAUAUCUUUAAACUACUGAUAAUUUAUGCAUAAAAUAUCUGUUAAUAAAUAUUGGAACUGAUGCGUAAAACUGUAUAAUGUAGAUAAUUCGAAUUACACUAUGAGCGCUCGUGGAGUUUGCAGGCGUGGUGGGGGCCGUAGGGGGGCUCGAACUGAGUCUUCCUCACUUGGUAGUAUGCCACAUUUGUAUACGAGUGAGACACUAAUUUCGCCUACUACUAAGACUGGGUCUCAAAGCCGUUCGGUUGGGGACGACGUAUUGUCCUAAGCCAUGCUGAGGAUUUUGGAGAGGGUCACUGGAGCCCAUGCUGGAACUGGAGGUCGUGGGUUAGUAAUUGAUGACUCCAGUCUAAUGGUGCUGAACUGUUUACGGGUGUCACUAGAGUCGCCCCUAGUAUGGCCGAGUACUGGUUAAAGGCCACAGAGAGGAUUAUGAAUAACUUAGACUGCACUCCAGAGGUGUAGUUUCCCUGCUUCGUGACGAGGCAUACCAGUGGUGGUUAAUGAUUGGGGAGGGUACUCAGUCUGAUCGUCUGACCUGGGACUUCUUUAAGACCACUUUUCAAAGCAAGUAUGUUGGAGCAAGAUUUGUGGAUGCUCGUAGGCAUGAGUUAAUGAAUCUUUGCAAGGGGAUAAAUCUGUGGUCGAGUAUGAGGCCGAGUUUUUGAGAUUGAGCCGCUAUACUCAAGGCAUGGUGGCAUCUGAGUAUAAGAGGUGCGUUUGGUUUGAGGAUGGAUUAAGAGAUAGUUUGAGGGGACUGAUUGCUCCACAAAGGGAGUGAAAGUUUGCUGUUUUAGUUGAGAAGGUGAAGAUCGUCGAGGAUGUUAAGCGCGUGGAACGCUAGAAUAGGAACCAAGAGAGGGGUAAGAAUAAGAGGGAUUCGGAGUCCUCUAGUUCUAUUUCGAGGCUUAAAAAAAAGGUCAGAUCUGAUGGACCAGUUAGAGAGGGGGCUCCUAUUUCUCCUGCUGGGAUCUAGCCGUGUAGUGACUGUGGUAGGUGCCAUCCGGGUGAGUCUUGGAGGAGGAUUAGGGCUUUUCUAAGGUGUGGGUCUCUUGAGCACCGUAUUAGGGAGUGUCCACAGUAGGAAGAUUAGAUGCAAGCUUUAGCUCCGGGUUCUGUGUAGCCUCAAAAGGUAGUGCAGCAUUGAUCUAGGGGCCGUGGACAGGCUAGGGGUGGUAAUGGUAUAGGUCGUGGGCAGAGAGCACCGGGCAGAGCUGUUGGUCAGACUGAGGUGAGACAGCCUGCACUGGUAUAUACUACACAACGCCGAGAGGAUAGAGAUGCUCAAGAUGUUAUCACUGGUUAUGGAGGGUUCGUGUUUGCUGUUGCGUCAAAAAUGAAACAGGUGUAUACCCAAAAUGCAGAACAACGAGAUUCGGUAAAAGCCAAAAAAAUGUUCUGUCGACACCAAACGGGCGUGUGGUUGACAAAGGCAUGACCGUAUGCAGUACACGGUCGUGUGGCGGCUCGAGUAUGGCCAUGUGGGUCACACGGGUUGGGCCAAGUUGAGCGUGUGGGCCCACACAGGCGUGUAGUUUUUGGGCCAAGCCAUGUGAGCCAAACAGGCAAGGGCAAUCUGGGCAUGUGGGCCCACACGGGCAUGUGGGCUCAAAUUUUUUAAAUUUCUCCUAGGGUCGAAUGGGUCGUCACAAUCAACUGUGGGCCUACCGUAGGGUAAUCGUCAGUCUUAGGCGGAUCAUUGCAGUAGGGACUCCGCGGUGACCACUCUUCUGUAAAACUGAUUAAAGUUAUUGGUUUAUGGUUUUAUUUACUACUUUGGGUUAUUUUUUGAGAGUUUGUAAUUUCUGAGAUUGUCUGGACUAUAAGACUUUUAACUGCGGGUUUAGAUUUAUAUAUAAUUUGCAUGCUAUGAUGAACUA